AUUGAACGCUGGCGGCAUGCUUUACACAUGCAAGUCGAACGGUAACAGGCCGCAAGGUGCUGACGAGUGGCGAACGGGUGAGUAAUGCAUCGGAACGUGCCCAGUCGUGGGGGAUAACUACUCGAAAGAGUAGCUAAUACCGCAUACGAUCUAUGGAUGAAAGCGGGGGACCGUAAGGCCUCGCGCGAUUGGAGCGGCCGAUGUCAGAUUAGGUGGUUGGUGGGGUAAAGGCUAACCAAGCCAACGAUUUGUAGCUGGUCUGGGAGGACGACCAGCCACAUGGGGGCUGAACGACGGCCCGGGCUCUGAGGGACGGCGGAGGGGGGAAUUUUAGGCAGAUGGGGGAAAUCUUGAACAAUGAAUGCGGGUUGGAGGAAGAAGCCCUGCGGGUGGUAAAUUGUUUUUUGCGGGAAGAAACGGGUUCGGGUGAUACCCGGGGCUAAUGACGGUAACGGAAAAAAAAGCACCGGCUAACUACGUG
RNAcentral lists this ribosomal RNA (481 nucleotides) under uncultured bacterium. Its description in RNAcentral is "partial 16S ribosomal RNA". It matches the Rfam family "Bacterial small subunit ribosomal RNA", at positions 29 to 507 of the family's 1533-position model. The record is from RNAcentral.